Molecule: unclassified non-coding RNA, 1244 nt
Filed under: Leishmania donovani
Lineage: Eukaryota; Euglenozoa; Kinetoplastea; Trypanosomatida; Trypanosomatidae
Description: gene:LdHU3.13.1650(CDS-product:EF-hand_domain_pai r_putative)
Source: RNAcentral
CCCACACGCGCGCGCUGUCGCCCCCAUCCCCUCCUUCCUCCUCCACGUCGCCCCACCCGUCUACUCCACUUCUACAAUGGCGGAUAUCUACCCAGGCUACGGGUACCCCCAAGCCCGUCAGGGCUACAGGGCGAAUCCGAUGUACGGCGGGUAGCAACCCGCCACUGCCGGCUCCCUUGGCGGUGGCGCGUACGCGCCGCCGCAGAAUCGAGCGCCACCAGAGUUAGUCAGUUGGUUCGAGGCGGUGGACAGUGACCAUAAUAGUCGCAUCGAUGUGGCCGAGCUAAACGCUGCCCUCUCCAGCGCCGGCUUCCGGUUUAGCCUUGGCACCACCGAGAAGUUGCUAGCCCGCUACGACCUCGACCGCAGUGGCACCAUCACCAUGGAGGAGUUUGCCCACCUCCACGAGUUCAUUGCCGCGAUGCAGCAAGGCUUCCGCCAACGCGACACCAGCGGUGACGGACGUCUCGACAGUAGAGAGACGCUCGAGGCCUUCCGGCUCAGUGGCUUCGUCCUCAGCGAGCAGACUUUGCAGGCUGUCAUGCGCAAGUUUGACCGACAGCACCGCGGCCCGCUCGGCUUCGACGACUACAUCGAGCUCUCUAUCUUUAUGGCGCAAGCGCGCGACGCGUUCGCCUACUGUGAUCGAGACCGCAGCGGCCAGGUGCUCUUUAACUUCGACACCUUCCUUGGCACAGUGGCAACGAUCUGGUAACGCGGUGUACGUGGCUGCGCCGGUCUUCUACAUUUCUCUCUCUGUGUGUGAGCGUACUCAUGCGCGCAUGGCGCGCCCCCCCCCCUUUCUUCCCUGCCCUCCCCCUCUCUAUGUGUGUGUGUGUGUCUUUGUGCUGUGAAAGGGGCGCGGAGGCGGGUUUGCGCCUCGACGAAACGGUGCCUGCUGCUGACAACACUCCCUCCCCCCGCUCUUCGCAUUCUCUUCUGCAACUACUCUAGCCAAGUAGAGAAGCAAGCCAAAGACGAAGAAGGAGCAUCUAUGCCCAUACGUUUAUGUGUACACUACACCCCGCGUGGCAUCCAACGUGGUGCUGUUGUAGGGGGAGGGGGAACAUCCCUGCCCCACGUGUAAUGUGUCUUUCUGUGUCUGCCUGUCCCCGCCCUCGCGGAGCUCCUGCGCCUACGUACUCGCACAUAUCGGUGAGCGCAUUCUACCGCUCUUCUCGCAAGGUGGCCCUCAUGCCUUUUCCAACGCUCUCCCCUUCCUCCCCCUCCUCCAUUGCCAUCAG